Molecule: transfer RNA, 66 nt
Filed under: Anisakis simplex (herring worm)
Lineage: Eukaryota; Metazoa; Nematoda; Chromadorea; Rhabditida; Anisakidae
Description: tRNA-Asn
Source: RNAcentral
UUGGGCGUGGUAAAUGGCAGUCUUAGCGUGAGCGUCAUUUAUUGGGUAUGAGCGUCAUUUAUUGGG